This 263-nucleotide ribosomal RNA is filed under the name uncultured archaeon. Its description in RNAcentral is "partial 16S ribosomal RNA". It matches the Rfam family "Archaeal small subunit ribosomal RNA", at positions 718 to 982 of the family's 1478-position model. The record is from RNAcentral.
AGUCACUGACAUUAGAUACCCCUGUAGUCCAGGGUGUAAACGCUGCAGACUUGGUGUUGGAGGCCCUUUGGGGCAUUCAGUGCCGGAGAGAAGUUGUUAAGUCUGCUACUUGGGGAGUACGUCCGCAAGGAUGAAACUUAAAGGAAUUGGCGGGGAGCACCGCAACGGGAGGAGCGUGCGGUUUAAUUGGACUCAACGCCGGAAAUCUCACCGGAUAGGACAGACAUAUGAUAGUCGGGCUGAAGACUCUACUUGAUGAUCUG